This 468-nucleotide ribosomal RNA is filed under the name uncultured bacterium. Its description in RNAcentral is "partial 16S ribosomal RNA". It matches the Rfam family "Bacterial small subunit ribosomal RNA", at positions 28 to 507 of the family's 1533-position model. The record is from RNAcentral.
GACGAACGCUGGCGGCGUGCUUAACACAUGCAAUUUGAACUGAAAGGCCCUUCUUUUGUUGGGUGCUCGAGUGGCGAACGGGUGCGUAACACGUGAGUAACCUGCCCUUGACUUUGGGAUAACUUCAGGAAACUUGGGCUACUACCGGAUAGGAGCUCCUGCUGCAUGGUGGGGGUUGGAAGGUUGCGGCGGUUGGGGAUGGACUCGCGGCUUAUCAGCUUGUUGGUGGGGUAGUGGCUUACCAAGGCUUUGACGGGUAGCCGGCAUGAGAGGGUGACCGGCCACAUUGGGCCUGAGAUACGGCCCAGACCGCGACGGGAGGCAGCAGUAGGAAAGAUUGCAAAAUGGGCGGGAGGAGGAGGGAGCAAAGCGGCGUGCGGGAUGACAGCCUUCGGGGUGUAAACCGCGUUCGCCUGUGAAGAAGAGGGAGUGACGGUAAUAGGUAAAGAAGCACCGGCUAAAUACGUG